Molecule: long non-coding RNA, 11967 nt
Organism: Canis lupus familiaris (dog)
Lineage: Eukaryota; Metazoa; Chordata; Mammalia; Carnivora; Canidae
Exons: 3
Source: RefSeq, a predicted model, not a curated record
GAGAAAUCUCAGUAUCUUCUCAGUUUGGCCAUGAACCUAAACCACUCUGAAAAACAAGUCUAGUUAUAAAAGGAAUGUGAUAUGUUUAAGCAUUGAUUAAAAAAAUAAAAGCUCCCAGCCUGGUUUUCAUUUUAUGAGUUGGACAAGCAUAGCUCCAUGGUUGGACAGAUGUCUACUGUGGAAAAGAUCUCAACUCCUCACCAUGGUCGGACAGAUGUCUACUGUGGAAAAGAUCUCAACUCCUCACCUAAUGCCACAUAGGUUCCUGGGGUCCUGUAAGGCAUCUUCGGGAUGCAGUUGAAGGAGGCCAUGCAAGCUCUGAGCUUCAGAGGGCACAUGAGAGGCGUGCAGAGCUCCUGCUGUGGCUGCUGGGAAGUGCCAUGGUGUUCCAAAGGGCCGCCAGUGUGGAGCAGGAAGUGGUCAUGUAGAGCAACUCAAAGUCAUUUUGGGAAGUAGUCAGGAUGCAAAUGUGCAUGAAGGAAAAUCCUUAUAAUGCUUCCACAUUCCACCAGUGUUGGAGCAGUGCAGAUCAGCCCCCAUCAGCCGGGAACUGUCUUCUGACACCUCCUCAGCACGUUUUAAGUGCUACCAUUGGAUAUUCAUUUUAUUCACCAAACAUUUACGGAGCUUUCUGUGUGUGCCUCAGCAUCUUUAGAAGCAUCGCAGACCAUAUCACACGGCUGGGACCCUGACCACAGGCAGGCAACGUAAUGGUAUGCGGCUGUGCAAGAAUAAGUUCUGUUGGAACGGUCUGUGUUUCAGGCACCAGAACCCAAGCAUUGGUAGGACCCUGCCACCACCCACGUCGGGGAAGCCAUGCAGGAGAAGGCACUGCGGUGGUCCUGCCCGUUCUCACUGAUGUCACAUUCUGGCAGGACAUAGAGCAAUAGGACCAAGAAUGACCGACCCUGAGUCUAGGUCUAUUUAUGGCUGUGGCCUUGGAGAGCUAAAUUUCAUCAGAUUCCAAAUCAGAUGAGUUUCCUCUGGGCUGUAGAGAUGCUAUCAGGUGCCUGCAUCUUCCCCGGGUGUCAGUAUGGGUGAUGAAGGCCCUCGGAGGGACAGCCAGGGCAGCCAGAGGGCAAGCAGGCAAGAGCCAGCUCAGGAAGGCAGAAGUGCCUGCCCCUGGAGGCCCAGACAAUACAUGAAUCCCUUCUUUCCUGUGGUCUUUCACCCACUUGAAAGACAUGCCACGAAUAUGCAGUUUUGCUUGCAGUGAUGUGGGACCAGAGAGAUUUUGCAUCAGCAGUAUUUGUUGGGAAACAUGGCAAAGUCAGGGGGAGCCCCGUAUUUCUCCUUAUCAUGUGGAUGGUAGCCGGCUCAGGGAACAAAGAAAGGUAUCUGAUCGAGGAAGUGGUUAAUUCACAAAACCAUAACUGAUGUGAGUCUGUAAGUCAAGCUGAGAAGGUGGCUCUGAGUAAACUGGAGUCCCAAGGGACACGGGAAGGGCCUCCCCACGUGGGUCAGCGAGGGUUCCCCUUGCUCCGUGGACACGGGGGACAGCAUGGCACAUCAGCCUGCCCUCACUCCGGCUGGCUCCUCUGCAUGAAGGAAUCCCCGCUAUCCUUGAAGGGCAUCUGUCUCCUCGCAUCCCCGCGGCUGGCAUCCCUGUCUUGCUGCUUGCUAAGAAUCCAGAACAGAUUCAGGUCAGUGCAUUUCGAGGCAGCUAAACGCUGGAUAAAUGGCAUUGUACGUAAAUUUCAGUGGCACAGCCAGGGUUACCCGCGGCCUUGCUCGCAGCAGCUAACAGGUGUGAGCUAAUGUCACGGAUGUAACCUUGCUUCUCCGGUGGUGCCGCUGCCAAGGCUGGAUUCCUCCCCGCUCUGUCCCGGCUGCUUCAUGGAACGGUUUCAGCUUGUGCCACUCCAGCCGUCUUUUUGAAGUCUGGGCAGAAAGUGGAAGGCAGGGCCUGCUUUGUUAUCUGGUCUCCACACUCGUCUCUUUUGGUUCCUGGGUUUUUGGCUCACAGACGAGGGGCGGCUAACAAGGUUUGUGUCUCGUUGAGGGUUUUAUGACUGAACCAUCUGGAAUUUUUGGACAUUUUCAAACUAGCACAAUUGGCAUGAAUUUAGAGGUGAAAAGGUGGGGAUAAUCUUUUCUCUUGGAUUUGUUGGUCCUAGGAUAUAGAACGUCAAUAUCCAGAAGACACAUUCGUACCAGAUGAGGAAUUGGGAGAAUGAUAUUCUUUCUUUCUCUCUCUCUCUGACUCUUGUUCUGUCUCAGAUACAUGGCAUGAAUUUAGCCCAGUUUCAAAGUUAUUUAUUCAUGAGAGACACAGAGAGAGAGGCAGAGACAUAGGCAGAGAAGCAGGCUCCCUGACGUGAACUUGAUGCGGGACUCGAUCCCAGGACCCCGGGAUCAUGCCCUGAGCUGAAGACAGACGCUCAACCACUGAGCCACCCAGGCAUCCCUCAACUUCACAGGUAAAGGACGCAGUCCACAUGAGACCUCCCUUCAGCUGCAAGCUUGGAGUCCCCAUGACCACCCUCUGGUUAGCUAAUUCUCUAGAAGGGGUCAUGGAACUCUCCGAGGGCUCUUACGGGGAAUGGACACAAGUUGAGAUCAGCCAAAGGAAGAGACACAUGAACAGAUCCUGAAAAGUGCCCAAAGUGAGUUUCGCUGGCCCUCCCCACUGGGUCAGCAUUGAUGCACACACAGGGGAUCGCCAACCAGAGAGCUCCCCCAAGCCUCCCUGCCCCACAUGCUCAUUAGAUAGCUCUGCCUCACGGAGGGAUGACUGAGGAUCCAUCAAUUGAUUAUUGACUAGUGGGUUGCGUGCAUCGUUGGUCUCAGUCUCCAGGUGAUGGGUACCUAAAUCACAGGGCUGGUCUUUGAGGCAUGGCCGGCCCUACCCUAGAAGUAUCAUGUGCAUCUUGUCGUUGGAUUACUUGGGAUGACCCAUGGCCCCAGGAAGGCAGACCCUCCUGCCAGGUGGGACAUCUUAGAGGUCCCCCAGAGGUGGGAGACAGAUUAAAUUAUUUGCCCCCUCCCCAUGGAGAAGAUGAAAUACAGUGUCCUGGUGGGUCUGUAACUCCCUCUCCCUCUUUCGUAGGCUGGUUGGAACUUUCUUAUCUCUUUUCUUGUGAUUUCUGCUGAAUUCCCUGGAACUAAUGCCCAUUGUAUGCACCUGAUUACAAAGGGAAAGGUUUUAUAGAACAUUUCUCCUCUCAGGAAAAUGAGAGGCACCCUGCCUUUUUCUUGGUGAGAGAGAAAUGUUCUUUUGAAUAAUUUUUUAAUUUACUAAAAUUUUUUGAUUCCAUUGCUGCAAGGAUGCAAUCUUCCAGUGGAGAGGCACACAGAUAACGAUGUUUUAAUAUUUGCGCUGCUCGGAAGUGAGGCCGGCGAAAGCCCAGGGGCCGCCAAACUGCAGUGAUUUGUUAAACAGCUCCCGCCAACUUGCUGAGAUGAUGAAACACGGGUCCCUGGGCUGGCAGAAACACAUUCUUCCCCCUCUCCAGGACCACCAGGACCCAAGCCAGGCUCCUCUGCACCCCCGACCCACAGUACCCCUGGCCACUAGCGUGCCCCGGAGGCCAGCCUUCCCCGUCAUCCACAAAUUAAUUAUCUGUACCUCCAAUGGGAUGAUGUUCUUGCCGUUCAUUUACUACCUGGAGUUUAAAAAGUCAUGUGUUUUAAGGUCAGUAAACCCUCGGUUCUGUGCCUGGCGGCACCUGAGUUACUGGUUACUUAAGGUCACCCACAGGCCAUGGUGCUGUGUCCAGAUGGUGAUAAGUUUAGCUUCAGUGUCACCAUGGGGCUCUUGCUAGCAAUGGCUUUUUAAACUUUGCAGUGUCAGGUACGUCCAACUUUCUGAGAUAGUAGAGCUGCUCCUGAGGUCCAGUGGUCCAGGCCCCAAUGUUCACUUACCUCUCAAGCCUCCUGGCCUGGGCUGUGCACUGGUGCUGGAAGUACAAGGCAGUUUUCUGGGGAAGUCUUCGGGGGAUGGCAGGGCAAACAGGGCACUCAGGCAUCAGUAGAGGUAUGGUGCCCCAGCUGUGCAUACUUGGCCACCCUAACUACUGAUUGGCAUGAGGGUCUCAUCUUUGUAGAGAGUAGGGUACCCACCUGCAAAGGUGGCUAACACAGAAGUGGGGUGUACUGGGAUGGAAGCCGGGCCCUUCGCAGCUCCCUGGUAACUGUUGAUGGAGUAGCCAAGUCAGGUGACACUGGGGACAUUCGGCAUCUGAGCCCCCAUGCUGAUGGGGUGAGCAUAGUGAUGCUUAUGUGCUCUGAGGGCACUUUCAUUGUGCCUGACACUGUUCUUAAGCUUCUUCUGUGCAUGACCUCAUUUGAUUCUUGAAGCACCCUAGAGAUGGGUUCUCUCAUUGCAUCCAUUUACACCUGGGGAGACUGAGGCAUGAGGAGGAGAGGAAACAUGCCCAAGACCACAUAGCAAGGAGGUAGUAGCGUCAGGUUCUGGACUUAGAUAUCCUGCCCCUGACUGAACUUCGCUACCAGGUGAGCUUGCAGGGGAGAGGUCCUCUCCCCUCCCCCCACCCCAGGAGGGGAAGUGCUGGGUGCCAGUAAGUGCUAAGUGGAGGGUGGCCAGCUGGAGAGCCAUCCUGGGCCUGCUCACCCUGUAGUCUGGUGUCUCAGUCCUGACAGCAGGGGGCAGGAUGAGACAGGGAACUGCAGCCACGGUAGGGGCUCCAGCUCCUGUGGCCGGCUCCAAGGAGACUCAGGAUGAGGGCGGCAGGGGCAGGGCAGGGAAGGUGGCUCCUUCUCUGACGACCUUCAGAAUCUAUGGGUGGGCCAGGGUCUCAUGAGCAGCAGCCCCUUCUGUAGAGAAAGUGCCUCUUUGGCUCCCAACACCCUGUUGGACGAGGGGUGUGAAAGCGUAUUCCAUAUGAAUCGGGGAGAAGUGGCAGGUGCUCUCAUGCAGGCUCAUCACAGAGGAACCCCUGCCCCUGCACAGUGCCUGCUUGCUGGUCCGGAGGCAACGUUGAUCUGAUGCCACAGUGAUGUCUGUACUCUCGUUCUGUGCUUGGGGUCUUGCCUGGUGGUGGGUGGAGUAUGCUCACCCUGCCUUCUGCCACCCUCUGCUGCCCCUGAGCUCAGCCCCUCUGCGAGGUCUUCGGGUCACUACAGGGCGGGCCAAGCUAGGCCCCUAUGUCCACAGGGCCUCUGCUGCUAGGACCUAGGAGGCAUAGCCAGGACUUGGGACCCAGGUCAAGGGUGCAGACUUUCCCUCUCUCCCCACUCCCCACUCCGUGGGCUUCUAGAAGACCUUCCUUUGUGGGGCUUCUGACGAAGCACGAUGGAGGGAGAGAUGUGCUGGUCCACAUCUCUCAGCCACAAAGGAAGAUGGGAGGCCCAGAGUGACAGAGGCUGUAACGGAGCCCUGGGGCCACUGGCUGGGCUGCUCCUGGGGGGUGUGCCCUGGGGCAGGGCUGUGUUCUCUCAGCAUCACACUCCAGCUGCUGCCUACUCCCCACUUUUCCUUGAAGCUUUCCUUCCCGUACUGUGUCUUGAACCUUGUUCCUGCCUCUGCUUCCCUCCUGGGGCAGAUACCCAAGCCCCCAGCCCAGUUGGAGGAGGGAUAUCAGCAGCCCAUGGUCCCAGGGUUUCUAGGGCUCCCUGGAGAGGCCAGCCUUGAUUUAACAUGGACAUUCCACACAGACACUCUGCUUUGGUUGUUCCCAGGCCCCCUCUGCAUAUGCACUCCAGCACCUUUAUGCCAAAUCUUAAGUUAACCAGGGCCAAGAGAUGGGGCAGGAACUAAGGACCCAGACCAGGGUCAGACCAGCAGGCACGGGGUCACCCAGCAUCACUGGCAUCUCUGUGUGGGCAUAGGCGUCCUCAGAACAGAGCCUUCUGGGGUGCAGUUCUGAGUGGCUGCCGUGUCCUGUGUGGGGACCCAGAAGGGAGCCUGUGAAGCCUAGUGGGUCUGGGAUAGUCUGUCUGAUGGCAAGUGGAACCAGAAUGGAACCGAGACAUGGAGGACAGUGUCUGGCCUGCCCUUGGGGCCUGCUGCUGGCUGUGGGGUCAGGGCUGCACACUCUCAUGACUCUGCCAUUGCUCUGUGUCUGGGUCUCCAGUGACCUGGAGGCCUGGGGAGAGGGGCUCGGGAGCAAGGGGCUGAGUAGUAGAAGUUUGACACAAACUCCCAGGUUUAGACCCCAGGCCCAGGGAAGCGGCACCUGAAAGGAAUAUGGCCAGGUGGUGCCCGGGUGCAGCUAGCCCUGCUGGUGUGGACAGAGGUCAAGCAUGUGCACUUCUCUGCACUUGGGACAUGGCUCAGAAAUUCGCUCCCUUGAAGGCAACUCUGAGUUGACAGCUCUCCCUAGGGAUGCCCAGGCACUCAGUGUCCAGCUCCUGCUAUGGAGGCUUCUGAAAGCCUUGGGAGGACCUGACAAAUGACCCUGAGGAAGGAGGACAAGACAGUUGUGUUGAGGACAGUGGACAGGAACCGGGAGGCAUUGUCUGGGGCUGCAACAGGACAGGUUUAGGUUAGAAUACAGUUUUGAAAUAUUGAUGAUGCAUUUAUUCAACAUCCAUUUAUAGAGUAUCGAUUUUGUGCCCGAUCAUGGUGUAGACAAUGUUGGGGACACAGCAGUGGACACAAGUGGCCCCGGAUGCCUGCCCUGUGAAUCCAAGGCUCUAGUGGAGGAGAUGGGAAUUGACAUAGUAUGUGUGGUAUCUGGGCCCCCUGAGGGUGACGUGGGAUGAGCUGGGACAGGUCUGGCAUCGGGAAUGUGGGGCGGCACUUGAGUGUUAUGAUGUCAAUAUGAGGAGCUGGCACGUCAGAAGCCAGCAGCCUGGGUUGGAGUGUGAGGUGGUGGACGAGCCCGUCACAGACACGUGAGGACCACUGAGGCCGCGUCUCCCAUGGUGUUCCUGAGCUGUCUGGCCUCUGAAAGUGGUGCUGGUGCCCCGUGACAGCCAUUCUUCUGGGGAAUAAGGGAGAAAUGGGGAUAUCACCCCCACUACCCUGCCCAUCCCACUGCUGGGAUGUACAGCCAGGUUCCCGACUGUGGCAAAGACAGACCUGGAGGGGCACCAUCUUUUUUUUUUUUAAUUUUUAUUUAUUUAUGAUAGUCACACACAGAGAGAGAGAGAGAGAGGCAGAGGGAGAAGCAGGCUCCAUGCACCAGGAGCCCGAUGUGGGAUUUGAUCCCGGGUCUCCAGGAUCACGCCCUGGGCGAAAGGCAGGCGCUAAACCACUGCGCCACUCAGGGAUCCCUGGAGGGGCACCAUCUUAAGACCAGAUAUGGCUGUCUAUUUUAUGUGUCAACUUGGCUGGACCAUGGUGCCCAGAUAUGGGGCCAAACAUUAUUCUGGGUAUUUCCAUGAGGGUUAUUUCUGGAUGAGAUUGAGAUUUACGUCAGUGGAGUUUUAGUGAAGCAGAUUGCUCUCUGCGAUGUGGUGGGUCUCAUCCAAGCAGUUGAAGGCCUGACUAGAGCAGAAGACCGGCAUCUCCUGAGCAAGAAGAAAUUCUGUGGCGGACAGACUUGGGACUUGAACUAUAGCAUUGGCUGCAAAGGUUGGGUCUACAGCUUCCUCAUCCAUUCUGCAGAUUUGGGGCUUGCAGCUUCCAUAAUUGUGUGAGCCAGUUCCUUGAACCAAAUUUCUCUCCACGUGUAUGCACAUCGUUUUGUUUUUGUUUCUCUGGAGAGCCCUCACUCAUACACGCCAGGGCAGGAUGCAGCUGGGGUUCUCUAAGACAGAAGAAAUGGUCCCCGAGAAGCAGCAUCCAGCAAGGGCUGAAGAGCAUCCUUCUGGACUAGGGAGCUUUGCAGGGUCACGUCGAAUCUACUGUAGCAAGGCCGUGGUAGCUCACCAUCAGUCCCCAAGAAAGCCUGUCCUUUAACGCACAACACGCAGCACCCAUGCCCUCUCCCCAUACAGCCCCCAAGGUGAUUGUGGCUGGUGCCCUAGCCCCUGUUCAUCCCAGCUGCUUCCCCUUCGCUUGACUGACACCACCCAUGACUCAUGAGUACCUCCAGUCUCCAGAAAGGGAAAAGAAAAGGGAAUCCAACCAUCAUCAUUCUGAAGAGUCCCUUGGUCCUCUGUCCAUGCUGGGCCCUCUACUACACUGCUCCUGACCUCCCCAGCGCAGUCCCCCGAGUCUCAUGGAGGACUCCCCCAGCUCCCAAGAAUUCAGACUCCCUCAUCUCUGUCUCCAGGACGUCUCUUGUCCACUUGCCCGGCCCUUCCUGCCAAGGCCGGGCUCUGCCUCUGGGCAGGCCGGCGGUCAAUGUGUGGCCUGCAGGGUGCGGUGCUGCAGAAGCCGUGGUUCUCUGGGGCCCUGGUGGCCAGAUGUGGCGGUGCUCAGACACAGUGGCUUUGUCGGCAUGGCAGGGUGGCAGAGGCUGUGGCUCAGCCAGCCCUCCACAGGACCCAUGUGGGGCACCAGCUGGGGCCAGAUGCUGUGCCUUUGGCUUCUGCUACUCGGCUCCCCAUCUGCUGCUGCUUCAGGCUGGAGGGGUUUGUUCUUCCCCUCCCACUCCCUCCAUACCUUCCUCCCCCAGCCAUCCCUCCACAUUCUCAGAAGCCAUAAUCCCCAUAAGAAACUCCUUUUCCUAAAAUGUGGGCAUUGCUUCUGCUUUCUUGACUGGCCCCAAUCUGCUCAUGGAGUAUGCCCUCAGCAGAGAUACGGCCUUCUCACAUGGAGAGGAUGUUUCACUAGGCAGGUCAGCUGGUCUUUCUCUAAACUUGUCCAAUCUUGCAGAGGGCUCUGGGCAUUGUCUCUGUGUCACCAUGAGGCCUGGGUGUCUGGGUGGGUGGUCACUGCCUGUUCCUGACGUUUCCUUACAGGGGAGAGAUGUCCCUUCGUGGAAGGCUCCAGGCUUCCUGUCCUUGCUUUGUGUCCUGACUCCACAGGGGAGUGAACCUCCUGUGGGUGAGGGGCGGCUCCUGGUCCACCUUUGCCAGUAGGAUGCAGACGAAAGAGGACAUGUCACGAGCUGAAGGGCCUGGGUAUCCCUCCUUCCUUCCUUUCUGCCCAGAUGGGGGGCGGGGAGCAGCUGGCCAGGUCUGCCCUGGGGCAGGGAGGCUGCGUGGCUCGGCCACAGAGCUGUGCCCCAGCCCUUCGUGCAGCAGUGAGAUUUUGGUUCUCCGCGCACUGACUCAUUUGUCUGAUUUCUUCCUCAGUUUGGAACCUGGGUUUGGGUCCCCCCUCAAAGACCUGGGUGACAGGCAAGCUUUAAAAACAGCAUUUUUAAGGCACCAAAUUGCUCUUUCCCACGUUGGUAUUUCCUUCGUGCUAAACAGAAAGCUCGUGUUGGAAUCUGGGCUCUGCCACUGACUGGCUGUGUGGCCUGGGGAGAGUUCCAAAUCCCUGCGUCCUUGAAGUAAAGUGCAGAUAAAAAUACUUUCCAUUAAAAAAAAAAAAAACAACUUUCCAUUGAAGUUCUCAGAACAGGGGAGAUAGUGAAUGAGCACAUGCUCUGCAAACUGCAAAACACCGUGUACAGAUCAACCCACUUCAUCAACCCUGAUGCGCACUCUCCCCCAUGCUGGGUGCAUGUGAUGGGGGCAGGGCAGCCUGGCGGGGGUCGUCCCCGUAGGCUCUUUUGUGGACGUGGAGGCUUUUCCUUGUGCCACGUGCACAGCUGUAGCCCAGGCCACAAACCACACACGACCACCUGAGGACGGAUGGGGUCCCACUUGUGGCUAAAGCCCUUCCUCCGACACCUUGCACACACAUUUUCUUUUGAUGCAUGCACACGAGGGAAAGGUGGUAUAAAACAUCUCUAAAUCAACCCACAAGAGUUUUGGUUUUAUGAAUUCUAAGAUCAAUUAAAAGAGAGCAGAAAGCAUUGUAGUAAAGUGUGGUCGGCAGUGCUCUCUGGUCUUCUUAGUCGUCCGUGAUACAUGCUGUGUGCGUGUGGAUCUGAUGACAUACGUGAUUUAUAUCUGUCAGAUUUGGGCAGAUCUGAGGGAAGAGCUUUACUCUGCAACUAAAUUGCUGUGUGAACUUGACCUUGCUGCUCAGUGCCUUUUCUGAGAGUGGGGGAAGUGUGGGUUACGACUCUGGGUUUCAGGUGAUAUGGAGACGCCACAACAGAUCACCCAACUGCAGACCCCAGGCCUGGCUGCAGACCCUGGUCCUGCUCACCUCUGUGAGUCACCUGGCCCUCGGCCCAGCAUUCCGAAAGGGGCCCUCUCCAGGCUUUCUUUAUGCAGUUGUCUUGUGACGGGCACACAGGAAAAUAUCAGGGUUAUGUCGCACUCCUGGCCCGGGAGUGGGAGUUGGUACUUAACCUCCUUUUGAGGGAUAAGCACAUGCGGAAGUAGCUCGUAGGGGGAUGAAAACCAGCCUCCAGAUUCACUUCACUGACAUUCAUACAGCAGAUUUCCUACGAAACUCUUGAACUAAUUCCAGGUAGAGUUCUCAUCCAAAAACACCCACUGCAAACAGCCAGGAUGUUGGAGUGAUGUCAGAUUGUGACACACGGUUGAGACCUAGAGUCCUCCUGAAGGGAUGCUAAUAGGACCGGGGACUUAUUCCAGGAUCCCUGCCCCAGGGACUUGCCAAAGAGGAGGCAGAGGGACACAGUAGCAUGGUGCCCCUGAGAUCCUAGUCCUUCUGGCAAGACACCCCUGGUUGUCUCCCUCCUGCCUCUGGACCCCCAUCAGGCGACUCACCAGCUACAAAGGGCUUGCCCUCUCCAGUGCUAUUUGUGGCUUCGCGGCUCACGCAGGGCUUUUACUUGGUUCAGAGGAAGCCUUUGUGUGCCAGGAAGGCCAGCGUGGAGGCCAGCUCCUCCCAGCCCACAGACAUCAGCUGCGUGUGCAGGGACAAUCUCUUUCCUUUUCCAAAUAGGGCUUGAAAGUCAUCUGUGUCGAGACACCUCCCUUUCUCAGUGGUGGCAGCGGAUGGCUAUGCUCUGUCCUGCUCUAGGAUAUGAUGCUCUGUGAAUGGGCAGGGAUGGGGAGUGGGGGGCUAGACUUACUGUCAGUCCCCCAUGUUCUCUACCACUUUACCUUGUGAUCAAGGCAAAUGUUUUUUUGGCUGGCUGGGACACCAGGAAACAGGGAUAAGUCACCUCUGGGGACUGUGAACCUGCUUCAAUGCCAGGGAUGUUUCGAUCGGCAGACAGAACUAUUGGAGGAAGAUCCAAAUGCAAGCUGCCUUCCACGCACUAAAAUGGACUGCUGCCAGCUCCGUGGCCCAAGGGAGCCCGAGAGAAAGAGACAAGGACUCCUGCUUGUCCACCCCCCGUGGUACUUCUGGCCAUUCAGGAAUGACUCCCCCAUCCCCUCUCUUUCCUGGGAUUGCUCUGGAAUAUACCCAGCCUGCUGCCUGGGGCUGUCGUGGCUCCUGGGCCCUCACCCCUUGAAAGCAGGUGGGUGGGUGAACUCUGGUCUGCAGGUGACAGGUACCUGCGUUCCUAGCCCAUCUGCCCCCUUCCCGGGUGCUGGCCAGCUGGCACUUCUUCUUGCCCCUGUUUGCAGGUUUGGGGGUGACAGUGGGCAGUAAUGUUUCAUGGGCCUUGGGGAUGGCCACCAACCCUGGCCUCCACUUUAGGGAGAGUGAUAGCCAGAUUGUGACAGAUCUGCCUGGAUCAGGUGUCCACAAUGUAAAAUUGAGGCCUCUGGAAGAGAGGCGAUGAGUGGGGAUGUGGCCCCGGGGCCUUGCUGGGCUGACAGAGACUGUCCUCUGGGGCACUGGUUCACUGGGUGUAUAUAAUUGCCUGACUCUGAAAUGAACACUGGCACUGUGCAUUUGUUUCCACAUGUCCAUCGUACAUCAGCUGACAGUGGUCCCCAGCACCAGUCAGGACUUCUUUUUGCUUUUUUCACAUGUACAUGGGGUUUGUGGUAACUGGGACACCCAUGUCUCUUAGUAAGGGAUGUGCCUAGGAUGUGGUGGUCAUCCACGCAGGCUGGCUGCAAUCUUACUGUCUUUCCCAUGGAGCAAAAUGCAUUUUCUCUUCAGUGAGAACAAGGAAUGUCUGUGGGUUAAUGUCCACCUUUCCUGAAGACUUUACAUGCUUCUACCAGACUCAGCCACCCCCCCCCCCG